UUGUCAUGACAGGGAGAAAAGCCUAUAUCUCUCCGUGCCGGAGGCUUCGGCCUUGGCUAUGGCGAUAAACGGUAGAUGAAAUAAGUGUUGUGGACCCGGGGGCAGUGCCCGGCGUCUCCACCAUCAGCCUCAGGGCUGGCGCUAUGGGGACGAAACAGGCUCGACACGCAUGGUAAAGAUCUACUUUUUGCCCGGUAUUGUUCCGCCGUCAUCGGGCUGACUUUACAAGUGCCAACGAUAACUCUGAGGUGCUCGCUGUUGCUGCAUAAGCGAUAAGCGCGGUCCGGGGGGCACCGGGCAACAGAAGCCCCCCA
This 314-nucleotide transfer-messenger RNA is filed under the name uncultured Bombella sp. RNAcentral describes it as "Alphaproteobacteria transfer-messenger RNA". It matches the Rfam family "Alphaproteobacteria transfer-messenger RNA". Rfam says of the family: Bacterial tmRNA, also known as 10Sa RNA or SsrA, is named for its dual tRNA and mRNA-like properties. Its role is to liberate the mRNA from a stalled ribosome. To accomplish this part of the tmRNA is used as a reading frame that ends in a translation stop signal. The record is from RNAcentral. Lineage: Bacteria; Pseudomonadati; Pseudomonadota; Alphaproteobacteria; Acetobacterales; Acetobacteraceae.